Arthrobacter sp. SRS-W-1-2016 is the source of this 120-nucleotide regulatory RNA element. It matches the Rfam family "TPP riboswitch aptamer (THI element)". From Rfam's summary of the family: Vitamin B(1) in its active form thiamin pyrophosphate (TPP) is an essential coenzyme that is synthesised by coupling of pyrimidine and thiazole moieties in bacteria. The previously detected thiamin-regulatory element, thi box was extended, resulting in a new, highly conserved RNA secondary structure, the THI element, which is widely distributed in eubacteria and also occurs in some archaea. NCBI's taxonomy places the organism in Bacteria, Bacillati, Actinomycetota, Actinomycetes, Micrococcales, Micrococcaceae. The record is from Rfam.
GGCUGGUACCGCGGGAGCCGCGGCGGCGGUCACAAUCGCCGCGCGGCUGAGAGGGCUUCAGCGCCGACCGCUUGACCUGAUCCGGCUAGUACCGGCGUAGGGAAGGACUCCAUGGAAGAA